This 2672-nucleotide ribosomal RNA is filed under the name Burkholderiales bacterium 12-64-5. Its description in RNAcentral is "bacterial LSU rRNA". It matches the Rfam family "Bacterial large subunit ribosomal RNA". Lineage: Bacteria; Pseudomonadati; Pseudomonadota; Betaproteobacteria; Burkholderiales. The record is from RNAcentral.
GUUAUAGGGUCAAGUGAAUAAGUGCAUGUGGUGGAUGCCUUGGCGAUCACAGGCGAUGAAGGACGUGCAAGCCUGCGAAAAGCGGGGGGGAGCUGGCAAUGGAGCUUUGAUCCCCCGUGACUGAAUACAUAGGUCAGCGGAAGCGAACCGAGCGAACUGAAACAUCUAAGUAGCUCGAGGAACAGAAAUCAACCGAGAUUCCCAAAGUAGUGGCGAGCGAACUGGGAGUAGCCUGCACGACUAAACCAUUUACUUAACAAAACGGUCUGGAAAGUCCGACGAUACAGGGUGAUAGUCCCGUAUGUGAAAAGUAAGUGGCGGGUCUGAGCGUGCGACAAGUAGGGCGGGACACGUGAAAUCCUGUUUGAAGAUGGGGGGACCAUCCUCCAAGGCUAAAUACUCGUGAUCGACCGAUAGUGAACCAGUACCGUGAGGGAAAGGCGAAAAGAACCCCGGGAGGGGAGUGAAAUAGAUCCUGAAACCGCAUGCAUACAAACAGUGGGAGUCAGCGACUUACGUUCAGUAGCGAGCUUAACCGAAUAGGGGAGGCGUAGCGAAAGCGAGUCUGAAUAGGGCGAUUCAGUUGCUGGACGUAGACCCGAAACCAAGUGAUCUAUCCAUGGCCAGGAUGAAGGUGCCGUAACAGGUACUGGAGGUCCGAACCCACUAAUGUUGAAAAAUUAGGGGAUGAGCUGUGGAUAGGGGUGAAAGGCUAAACAAACUUGGAAAUAGCUGGUUCUCCCCGAAAACUAUUUAGGUAGUGCCUCAUGUAUCACUCUCGGGGGUAGAGCACUGUAAUGGUUGGGGGGGUCAUUGCGAUCUACCCCGCCAUAGCAAACUCCGAAUACCGAGAAGUGCGAGCAUGGGAGACAGACGGUGGGUGCUAACGUCCAUCGUCAAGAGGGAAACAACCCAGACCGCCAGCUAAGGCCCCCAAUGCGUGGCUAAGUGGAAAACGAGGUGGGAAGGCAUAGACAGCCAGGAGGUUGGCUUAGAAGCAGCCAUCCUUUAAAGAAAGCGUAAUAGCUCACUGGUCGAGUCGUCCUGCGCGGAAGAUGUAACGGGGCUCAGGAAGAUGUAACGGGGCUCAAGCCACGAGCCGAAGCUGCGGAUAUGUCGUAAGACAUAUGGUAGGGGAGCGUUCUGUAAGUCUGCGAAGGUGUCUGGUAACGGAUGCUGGAGAUAUCAGAAGUGCGAAUGCUGACAUGAGUAGCGAUAAAGCGGGUGAAAGGCCCGCUCGCCGAAAGCCCAAGGUUUCCUACGCAACGUUCAUCGGCGUAGGGUGAGUCGGCUCCUAAGGCGAGGCCGAAAGGCGUAGUCGAUGGGAAACAGGUCAAUAUUCCUGUACCAGUCCAUGAUGCGAUGGGGGGACGGAGAAGGUUAUAGCAGCCGGGUGUUGGAAGUCCCGGUUUAAGCAGGUAGGCGUGCUGCGUAGGCAAAUCCGCGCGGCUUAGCCGAGAUGUGAUGACGAGGACCCACGUGGUCCGAAGUGCUAGAUACCACGCUUCCAAGAAAAGCCUCUAAGCUUCAGUCAUGGAGUGACCGUACCGCAAACCGACACAGGUGGGCAGGAUGAAAAUUCUCAGGCGCUUGAGAGAACCCAGGAGAAGGAACUCGGCAAAUUGAUACCGUAACUUCGGGAGAAGGUAUGCCCCUCGUACGUGAAGUCCCUCGCGGACGGAGCGGAAAGGGGUCGCAGAGAAUCGGUGGCUGCGACUGUUUAAUAAAAACACAGCACUCUGCAAACACGAAAGUGGACGUAUAGGGUGUGACGCCUGCCCGGUGCCGGAAGGUUAAGUGAUGGGGUGCAAGCUCUUGAUCGAAGCCCCGGUAAACGGCGGCCGUAACUAUAACGGUCCUAAGGUAGCGAAAUUCCUUGUCGGGUAAGUUCCGACCUGCACGAAUGGCGCGAAGUUGAAAUGUUUGUGAAGAUGCAAUCUCCCCGCGGCUAGACGGAAAGACCCCAUGAACCUUUACUGUAGCUUUGCAUUGGACUUUGACGGGACUUGUGUAGGAUAGGUGGGAGGCAGUGAGACGUGGUCGCCAGAUCACGUGGAGCCAACCUUGAAAUACCACCCUGGUGUCGUUGAGGUUCUAACCUAGGUCCGUGAAUCCGGAUCGGGGACCGUGCAUGGCAGGCAGUUUGACUGGGGCGGUCUCCUCCUAAAAGGUAACGGAGGAGUUCGAAGGUUCGCUUGGUACGGUCGGACAUCGUACCUAAAGUGCAAUGGCAAAAGCGAGCUUGACUGCGAGACUGACACGUCGAGCAGGUGCGAAAGCAGGACAUAGUGAUCCGGUGGUUCUGUAUGGAAGGGCCAUCGCUCAACGGAUGGUACGUGAGCUGGGUUUAAAACGUCGUGAGACAGUUUGGUCCCUAUCUGCCGUGGGCGCUGGAAGUUUGAGGGGACCUGCUCCUAGUACGAGAGGACCGGAGUGGACUUACCUCUGGUGUACCGGUUGUCACGCCAGUGGCAUCGCCGGGUAGCUAAGUAGGGAAGAGAUAAGCGCUGAAAGCAUCUAAGCGCGAAACUCGCCUCAAGAUGAGACUUCCCGGGGACUUGAUCCCCCUGAAGGGUCGUGGAAGACCACCACGUUGAUAGGCUGGGUGUGGAAGUGCAGUAAUGCAUUAAGCUAACCAGUACUAAUUGCCCGUGCGGCUUGACCCUAUAACC